GAUGAACGCUGGCGGCGUGCUUAACACAUGCAAGUCGAACGGAAAGGCCCCGCUUUUGUGGGGUGCUCGAGUGGCGAACGGGUGAGUAACACGUGAGUAACCUGCCCUUGACUUUGGGAUAACUUCAGGUAACUGGGGCUAAUACCGGAUAGGAGCUCCUGCUGCAUGGUGGGGGUAGGAAAGUUUCGGCGGUUGGGGAUGGACUCGCGGCUUAUCAGCUUGCUGGUGGGGUGGUGGCUUACCAAGGCUUUGACGGGUAGCCUGGCUGAGAGGGUGACCGGCCCGAUUGGAUUGGGGAUACGGCCCAGCCUCCAACGGGAGGCAGCGGUGGAGAAUAUUACACAGUGGGCUGAAGCCUGAUGCGACGACGCCGCGUGCGGGAUGACGGCCUUCGGGUUGUAAACCGCUUUCGCCUGUGACGAAGCGUGAGUGACGGUAAUGGGUAAAGAAGCACCGGCUAACUACGUG
This 468-nucleotide ribosomal RNA is filed under the name uncultured bacterium. RNAcentral's name for it is "partial 16S ribosomal RNA". It matches the Rfam family "Bacterial small subunit ribosomal RNA", at positions 28 to 507 of the family's 1533-position model. The record is from RNAcentral.